UUCUCCAAACAGGUCGCACAAUUUAGUCAUCGGAAGAAAAUUACCGAAAAAAUCCCCCAACCCCCUGCCUGCAUGGACCCUUGCCCCACCAGUGUCAAAAUGGUAAGAGCUGUCAGACAUGGGUAGGAUUUCUUUGUUAUUUUUCAGUGCAUUCAGAACUCGUAAGCAAAAAAAGAGUCUUUUGGGAGGAGCACUCCAGCCAAAUAUUACCAUUACCAUUUGAUGGUGUGCCAUUUAUUGUAGUCGGAAGACAGGUGCGGGAGUGCUCCCAUGGCCCUGACAGGCACAAGUCAGCAAAAUGUAAGAGCAAAAAAGAAAAAGAAGCAGAGAAGGUGAGUUCAUCAGUUUAUUAUCUGUAGUAUAAACUUUUUAAUUUGUAUAGAAGAAAAAAAAUUGAAAUAGUAUAAAUGAAUUUUGAUUAAACUGACUUAAAAUAAAAUAAUGUUCAAUGCAAAAAUUAUUAAAUCAGUCUUAAUUUUUAACAUAGUUUUAAAAUAUCUAAUAAAAUAAGUAAUUUAUAAAUUGAUGGAUGUUUACAGUACUGAACAAAUAAAGUAUUUAAAAAAUAUUCCUUUAAUAAAUAACUGUGAAUGAAUAUGAAAAUUAACAAACUUAUCUUAAAACAGAUAUGUUAACUGAAAAAAACAACACUAAGAGAUUGAGUAGAUUAUUAAGAGUAACAACAAAUCACCAUUUAAAAAGCUAACACUUUAACUUAAUUGUCAACUAAUUUUAAUACCCAGUUAGGCUUUCAUCACUAUCAAACUAAUAUGCUUUUUGCAGAUUUUUCUCAAAUAAGCUUACUGGCCAAUUGUUUUUGUCAUUGCCUGUAGUUCAUUUUUUUGGUGUUCUUUUUAAUCAAACCAAAUCUGCAUCUGUCAAACUCAUUACUGUCCUACUUUUGUCUGUCAUACUGUCCUACUUUUGUCUGUCAUACGGUCCUACUUUUGUCUGUCAUACGGUCCUACUUUUGUCUGUCAUACGGUCCUACUUUUGUCUGUCAUACUGUCCUACUUUUGUCUGUCAUACUAUCCUACUUUUGUCUGUCAUACUAUCCUACUUUUGUCUGUCAUACUGUCCUACUUUUGUCUGUCAUACUGUCCUACUUUUGUCUGUCAUACUAUCCUACUUUUGUCUGUCAUACUAUCCUACUUUUGUCUGUCAUACUAUCCUACUUUUGUCUGUCAUACUGUCCUACUUUUGUCUGUCAUACUAUCCUACUUUUGUCUGUCAUACUAUCCUACUUUUGUCUGUCAUACUGUCCUACUUUUGUCUGUCAUACUAUCCUACUAUUUUGUCAGUAGACUGGCAAAACUGAAAUGUGGUGGCAAUCAUGCUAUGGACUUAUUUCUACUUUCUUUCACAUUUGAUGAAUAAAGAUAAAAAUUGUGCUAUUUGCAAUUAUUGCAUUGCUCAUUAUUUCUGAUGUAUCUAUAAGGCAUAUGUUUGUUUGUUAUACCUUUUUUUAAAUUUGCUAUAAAAUUAAUUGGAAUACCAAUGAAAAUUAUUAACACCAAAUGCACUGUUCUUAUAUUGAAUGAUUUUAAGCUUGACUUGUGAAAUUCCAUAGAUUAAUACCUGCUUAAUUAUUAACUACAUUUACUAGCCCUUUUUGUUGUCUUAAUAUUCAGUAUCUCAUGAGAACUUAUGAUGUAGGGACUUGUCCUCCUGUUUUAAAACUAACUUACUAACUAUUAAUCAAGUAACUAGUUAUGUCAAUUAAUAUCAUGACAAGGAACAGAUCAAGGAUUGUAUUUCAAGACAACUGACAAACAAGAUAAAAGAUAAAUCAUAUCUAAGUAAAUAUCAUUUCAUUUUGUGGCAUUGUUUUUUUCUGAUCCCACAAAUUUAAUGGUGUAUUUAGAAUGGUUUAUUAUCAGCUAGAUGGAUAUUUUACAUCAAUGGUUUAGGAUAAAAAAAAAGCCAGACUAGUUGGAAAUGGAAGAUACAGCCUCUGUAAGGUAUUUAUCACUGUGUUGUAUCAUCUCAGGUGUGUCUAAUUGCUGUUGCUUUUUUUAAAUUUUAUUAAGUUACUUAAGACCAGAAAAAGACAUCUUAGAUAAAUUAUAUAUACAUAACAUAAAGAUAAAACACUGUUUAUACUUAAGCAAGCUUCUUAAUGAAUUUCAUGUUGAAGUAAAAACUGAAGCAGUCAGUGUGUCUUGUUAACAAGGCUUUUAAAAGACUUAUUGGAUUUGCAAAUGAUGUAAGGGCAAUAGUCAAACAGAUGUUUUUUUUUGACAACAAGAGUUAAUAAUUAGAUAUAAUAAAAAUAUUUAAACUUUGUAAAGAAUUUUGUGUAUAAAUAAAUAUCAAUUAUACUUAAAAUUGAUUAAUAUAGUUACAGACUUUUAUCUUACCUAAAUAUCAAAGUCAAAAUUUUCAAAUAUGCUUAAAUUGUCAUAGCUUUGUAAUUUAUUUACAGGUUUGAUUCAUACUUGGCAAAAAGAACACACAUGAUACAACAUGUAUGAACUAAAUUAUCAGAACUUUGUUAUUUUGGAUUUUAUUCAUUUUUGUACAUUCAAAUUUGAUCUUGACCUUCCACUUACCUUGCCAAUUAAUGCUGUACGCCUCCAGAUGAGCCAAAUGUUUCAAGAAAAUCAAUAUUGAGAAAAAUGUACAAACAUUUUAAGAAAGGCAGAUCAUGACUAUGUUCAUAAGCCUAGACGUAACCUUAUACAAACAAGCAAAAAACUUGAUUGUCCUGCAAAAAUUAUUAUCAGGUCAAUAGUACGAUUUCCAGAUUAUAAG
Molecule: RNA transcript, 2754 nt
Organism: Ruditapes philippinarum (Manila clam)
Lineage: Eukaryota; Metazoa; Mollusca; Bivalvia; Venerida; Veneridae
Gene name: calcium-responsive transcription factor-like
Exons: 2
Source: RefSeq, a predicted model, not a curated record